This 253-nucleotide ribosomal RNA is filed under the name uncultured bacterium. RNAcentral's name for it is "partial 16S ribosomal RNA". It matches the Rfam family "Bacterial small subunit ribosomal RNA", at positions 524 to 776 of the family's 1533-position model. The record is from RNAcentral.
GACAGAGGGUGCAAGCGUUGUUCGGAAUCAUUGGGCGUAAAGGGCGCGUAGGCGGUUUUGUAAGUCGGAUGUGAAAGCCCAGGGCUUAACCUUGGAAGUGCAUCCGAAACUGCAUAACUGGAGUCUCGGAGAGGGUGGUGGAAUUCCCAGUGUAGAGGUGAAAUUCGUAGAUAUUGGGAGGAACACCGGUGGCGAAGGCGACCACCUGGACGAAGACUGACGCUGAGGCGCGAAAGCUAGGGGAGCAAACGGG